RNAcentral lists this ribosomal RNA (497 nucleotides) under uncultured bacterium. RNAcentral describes it as "partial 16S ribosomal RNA". It matches the Rfam family "Bacterial small subunit ribosomal RNA", at positions 28 to 507 of the family's 1533-position model. The record is from RNAcentral.
GAUGAACGCUGGCGGCGUGCCUAAUACAUGCAAGUCGAGCGAACAGACGAGGAUCUUGCUCCUCUGACGUUAGCGGCGGACGGGUGAGUAACACGUGGAUAACCUCCCUAUAAGACUGGGAUAACUUCGGGAAACCGGAGCUAAUACCGGAUAAUAUAUUGAACCGCAUGGUUCAAUAGUGAAAGACGGUUUUGCUGUCACUUAUAGAUGGAUCCGCGCCGCAUUAGCUAGUUGGUAAGGUAACGGCUUACCAAGGCAACGAUGCGUAGCCGACCUGAGAGGGUGAUCGGCCGCACUGGAACAGAGACACGGUCCAGAGUCCUACGGGAGGCAGCAGUAGGGAAUCGUCCGCAAGGGGCGGAAGCCUGACGGAGCAACGCCGAGUGAGUGAUGAAGGUCUUCGGAUCGUAAAACUCUGUUAUUAGGGAAGAACAAAUGUGUAAGUAACUAUGCACGUCUUGACGGUACCUAAUCAGAAAGCCACGGCUAACUACGUG